UAUUAAGAGCAUUCGAGCGUACAUUCUCGUUGGGAACACAUUUUCUCUUUGUUUGGAAGCCAUAUUUGAUUAAUAUCAGGCCUCUACUGUAGUGGUUAUUACUUUUCAAAUUCAGGCCAACGAUGGCUGUGGUGAAGUUGCGUCGCAACUAUGUUAUCUAGGCAGGAACACCAUCGAAUUGCCAAUGUAUUUGGCUUUUUGAGCAAUAAAUGACACGAAAUAAUUAAGAGCUAGUUAAAAAUGUUUUCAUGAUUGAUUAGUUAGUACUGGCACAAUAAAAACCCUUUUUCUUAAUGAAGUAUAUCAUUAGCGAAUGAUAAAAAUGAGUCCAGGAUGUAUUAAGCAAAGACAUUCAUUCAUAAAAGAUUUAAUUUAUGAUGUAUAUGAACUUAUAAAAAAUUGGUGCCACGUAUGAAAAUAAUUAACUACGCCCAAAGAAAUACAGACAUCAAGUCAUUUACAUUUGAAAUGGAUAUACUAUAACGUAAGGCGUUUCAUUAAGAACUUUGAUCGAAAAUAAAAGCUAAAUAGAGAGUGCAAGUAAUGAAUAAACGGAUAGUAAGUGUCACUAACAAUGAAUGGA
Molecule: non-coding RNA, 583 nt
Organism: Schizosaccharomyces pombe (fission yeast)
Lineage: Eukaryota; Fungi; Ascomycota; Schizosaccharomycetes; Schizosaccharomycetales; Schizosaccharomycetaceae
Source: the annotation of a GenBank genome assembly